This 209-nucleotide ribosomal RNA is filed under the name Pseudoalteromonas aliena. RNAcentral's name for it is "partial 16S ribosomal RNA". It matches the Rfam family "Bacterial small subunit ribosomal RNA", at positions 162 to 379 of the family's 1533-position model. Lineage: Bacteria; Pseudomonadati; Pseudomonadota; Gammaproteobacteria; Alteromonadales; Pseudoalteromonadaceae. The record is from RNAcentral.
GCUAAUACCGCAUAAUGUCUACGGACCAAAGGGGGCUUCCGCUCUCGCCUUUAUAUUGGCCCAAGUGGGAUUAGCUAGUUGGUGAGGUAAUGGCUCACCAAGGCGACUAUCCCUAGCUGGUUUGAGAGGAUGAUCAGCCACACUGGGACUGAGACACGGCCCACACUCCUACGGGAGGCAGCAGUGGGGAAUAUUGCACAAUGGGCGCA